Arachis ipaensis is the source of this 2606-nucleotide non-coding RNA. The record is from RefSeq and is a predicted model, not a curated record. Lineage: Eukaryota; Viridiplantae; Streptophyta; Magnoliopsida; Fabales; Fabaceae.
AAUUACAGGAAAAAAAUUAAGUAGCAGGUAAUUUUUCAAAUUAAACAGCACCUUAGAAAGAAUCCAAAAGAUAAAAAGGAGUCAGGAAUGCGUAUUGAAUUGUUGAUCAUAAUUUGGUCACCAUACCAAUAUGAUUGUCACAACUCAUAAAGGCUAAUACUUCAAUUAAGGAUGGCAAUAUUCCUCAUUGCGCCAAGUUCUCCGCGGGAAAGCUCUGAAUGGGGCCUCCAAGAUGGUGAUUAAUAUCCGGGGAGGGGAGGGAAGGGGGCAAAGUUUCUUGAGGCAAGUUUGGUAAUCCGAGCAGGGAUUUCCACCCCGCUCUCCAAGAUUUUUGAAAUAUAUAAAAUAUCAGAUCUAUUAAACAUCUAAAUAUUAUUGCCAUCCAAGUCCAACCAAUCAGAUUUAACAUCAACAAAAAUCACUCUCAUUAAAAAAAGCAUGAUUAUGCGCUCACACGUCAUUCUUUCAACCAAGUCAUUUACGUUCGCAUGUAAGGUUUUACAUUAUCACCGUCUUCUUCUUUUUUGCGUUCCUCCUCCUUCGCAUGUUUUUUCCUUAUCGUCAUUCUUUUGUUACUACUGUUGUUGUUGUUGUGUUUUUUUUUUUUUUCCUCCGCCUCUCUUUGGAGAUUUUGUAGUAUUAUGUGUUUUUUCUUCUUUGUUUUAUUUUUUUAUUGGUUUUAUUCCUCUCAAGAGAGUGAAAUAACAAGAAUUAUAACAAAAUGAAAUAAGAUGAAAAAGAAAAAAAUAAAAAGGAAGAAGAAGCAAUAAAAGGUGAGGAAGAAGAGUUUUGAAUUGUGCAGAACAAUGAGUCCAAAUGCACCUUAAUUCACUCAGAAAUGAACCGAAAUGAUUGUGACACAAACUCAGUUCGAAAACAUAAUGCUCAGAAGUGUACCUUGUUGACAUCCAGAAUGAACCGACAACUAAAUUUCGAAUGAACCGAAAUUACUUAAUGAUGACAAUACACAAAUUCGUUUCAAAACAAGUACAGACCAAGUGCACCUUAUUUAAAUCUAGAAUGAAACGAAAUUACUUAAUGGUUGCGUUUGAAAACAAGCACACAAACAAAAUUGAAUGAUCAGAAAGAGGUUUACAAUAAGUUCUUUCAAAAUUGACUAUUUGUCCCUCUAUUAGAGGUGUUCCCGAAAUGUCUGCGAUCGAGUAAAUAGUUCUACGAAUGAAUGGAUCGAAUCGAAUUGGAAAAUGAAAAGAUUUGUACAAGUUAUUCAGAAGUGCACCUUAUUUACAUCCAGAAUGAACCGAAAAUUAAAUUUUGAAUGAACCGAAAAUUACUUAAUGAUGACGAUACACAAACAAACUCGUUUCAAAACAAGCACAGACCAAGUGCACCUUAUUUAAAUCCAGAACAAAACGAAAUUACUUAAUGGUUGCAUUCAAAAGCAAGCACACAAACAAAAUUAAAUUAUUAGAAGUGUACCUUAUUUACAUCCAAAAUGAAGCGAAAAUUAAAUUUUGAAUGAACCGAAAUUAUUUAAUGAUGAUGAUACCCAAACAAACUCGUUUCAAAACAAGCAUAGACCAAGUCAAUUUUGAACAAAAACACAUCUAAAUCAAUUUUGGAUUAAAAAAAUAUCAUCAAUAUGAUAAAAAUUCGAUGAUAACGACAACAAUAACGACGAUAACAAAAGAGAAAAAUAAUAAAAAAAGAAGAAGAAGACGACAACGUAGCAUUAGAGGGUGAAGAACAAUGUGUGUGCGUGAAUUUAAAGAAGAAGCACGAGGGGAGAAGAAAGCAUGAAAAAGAAGUGCGUGAAUCUAAAAGAGUUUGUUAAAUCACUUGGAUGUGAAGAUUUAUUGAUAAAAUAUCUAAUUUGUCCUUAAAGAAUAAUUCUUAAUUUAGAUAUUUUGUAUAGAUAUAAAUCUAAUUAAAUUAAUUGUAUUAGUAUAUUGGGUGGGGAGACGGGAAAUGGUACCGCCGGGAUUUUAUUUGGCACCCCAUCCCCCUGACAUCCCUAACUUCGAUAGGACAAUUGAGACAAUUCAGGUUAUCUCUGUUGCAUGUCUGCUGCUUUUAUGCCACACAAAUAUACUUACCUCAUAAUCAGUCUGCGAGACUGUUUCGCGGCUCCGUUGGUAUUUAUCAACCCAUGGAGCAACGUCUUUAUCGGAGGCCAAUUUGGCCUCUGUCGCAGCCUGAUCAGGGCCUAAGAAUGCAGAAAGAACAGCCAGCUGACCAAACAAGAAGAAAUAGUAAUCAAAUAUGUGAAAUACCUGGCGAGGACCAAGGCCUACAGCAGAAAACUUGUCUUUCAUUUCCUGAACACUUGCUUUCUCCCAUAAGGGAACUCUCCCCUCUGGAUCCGGCUCUUGAGCAUCUUCCCUACCAAAUUGCUUGUCGAACAGUCCCCACUGGGAUCAAAAAAAUAAAAAAUAUGCAUUAUUUGAUCAAAGUAUGAACAUGUAAUGGAACUCUAUUAAAGUAAACAGAAGCAACAAAACAGCCAACAGAACGAGAGCACCGAGAGUGCUCACCACAGCCUAGAUCCCAAUCCUUUCUUGAAACUGAAAAAAUGACAAGAGUGUAUUCCUAUAACGGUAACUCAAUUCUUGUUAUUUACAGCUGCAACCCCCCUAUUUUCUCUU